RNAcentral lists this ribosomal RNA (301 nucleotides) under uncultured bacterium. RNAcentral's name for it is "partial 16S ribosomal RNA". It matches the Rfam family "Bacterial small subunit ribosomal RNA", at positions 509 to 809 of the family's 1533-position model. The record is from RNAcentral.
CAGUAGCCGCGGGAAUACGUAGGUGGCGAGCGUUGUCCGGAAUUAUUGGGCGUAAAGGGAGCGCAGGCGGACAUAUAAGUCCAUCUUAAAAGUGCGGGGCUCAACCCCGUGAGGGGAUGGAAACUGUAUGCCUUGAGUGCAGGAGAGGAAAGCGGAAUUCCCAGUGUAGCGGUGAAAUGCGUAGAUAUUGGGAGGAACACCGGUGGCGAAGGCGGCUUUCUGGACUGCAACUGACGCUGAGGCUCGAAAGCCAGGGGAGCGAACGGGAUUAGAUACCCCAGUAGUCCCUGUCUCUUAUACA